Molecule: ribosomal RNA, 2802 nt
Filed under: Triticum aestivum (bread wheat)
Lineage: Eukaryota; Viridiplantae; Streptophyta; Magnoliopsida; Poales; Poaceae
Description: partial small subunit ribosomal RNA
Source: RNAcentral
AUGACAGACGAAGAAGUAAUGGAGCCUGAUACCGUGUUCAACCAACGUUUCGCAACAAAACGCUUGCUCGAAGUUGCGAAGACAAAACUUAAUCCUAGCAAGAGGCACUGCAUAAAUGAAACUGGCUUCGGUGAUCUCAUGAGCAUCUCACCUUUUAUAGCGCCACAUGAUUUGAUGGAGUGGUUAACAAUAAACAUUGACACUAACAGUCGUGAGCUCAGGCUGAGUCAGAACAAGGUCAUUGUGUUUACUCGAGACAUGGUGAAGAAGGUUUUCAAUAUCCCAUCAGGCAACAGACCAGUUGAGCUUUUCAAGAGACAUGAGCAUUGUGAGCUCCACAACAUUUAUCACAAGAAUGGCAGGGCUCCAAUUAUGCAUACAGUGGAUGUGCUUCAUCGAGCUAGGAAUGAUGAUGGCGAUACUACGAAGAGGUCAUGGGUGCUCUUAGCUCUUGCAACAGUUUUAACUCCAAGCACUGGCAACAUGGUGCCGCUAGAGUACUUGAAAAGCCUUGAAGAAAUGGACAAGGUUACUGAAUUCGCUUGGGAUGAGCAUGUUUUAAGUGUUGCAAUGAGAGAGGUUAAGAAGUGCCAGGACAAGAUAAAAUCACAGGCUACUUCAUUCUGGGUUGGGGGCUGCUUCCCUAUGCUCGCGGUUAUUUACAUGGACCAUUUGAUAUUUCCUCAAGCUGCCAUCAACGAGCACCAAUUGAAUUAUUCUCUUCCAAGGGCUUGCUUCGUGCAUCAGACUGACUUUGAUCUUGUGUUGGACUUUGACAAGGAUAAGCUUUCUUUGGGAAAAGCCUCUUUUGGGAAGUGUCGUUUUCGCCCUCUGUCAGAGACACCAUACGCACCAUUGCCUGCCCAAGGCCCGGUAGGCAACAUCAGUGAAGUUGCUCAAGAUCAGCAGGUUUCGGACAACCCGGAUUGUGAUGACACUCAAUAUUGUGGAGCUGGAAAUAUCAACUUUAAUGAUAACCAAGAUGACGUGGCUGCGAAAGAGAACCCUAUGGAAGGUAGCAACCCAACGGAUAAUGGUAAAAGCACCAAUGAAGAUGUGUGUGGUUCGCUGGAUGAUUGCCUUCAAAACCCGGCACCAUUUGGGGCAGAGCUUGAGCUCCCAUCACACAUCUACGACAAUCACACAAAACUAUAUGAUGCAAAGUUAAAAGGGGCUCUAAGUUCGUACGGGCAAGUGUUGCAAGCAAUACAUUGCAAGCCAAUGGAGCAGCUUCUCAAAGAUGUUCAUGUUGCUUCGUCAAGUUCUCAGGAAGCAGCGGAUGUUACCUUUGAUGUGCCGCCUCCUCGCAGCAAUGUUGUAGACAAGUCAGAUGGUCAUGGUUGUAGCAAGGAAAGUUCUAGGGAGAAGUUCGUAGAUGAGCCAACAACUGACAAGGUGUUUGAGCCAGCUGAAGGAGCUCGAAGCAACUGUGCAAGUAGCAUUGCUCAUGAGCCUAAUGGAGGCGACGUGGUUGAGCUGGGCACAGGAAGUAGUGUUGUUGUCAGUGAGAACCUUGGACGAUGUUUUGAGACUGCAAAUGAUAAAGUGUCUAGUGGUGAAGAUAUUGAGCAUGGUCACCAACUCAGCCAUCGCAAUCACUCUGUGCCGACUAGUGUGGUUGGACAUUGGAGUGAUGUGCCAUCAAUGAGUCUGUUCCAAGAGGGCACUGAGGCAUAUGAUUGGUGGAUCAGUGUCCCAAAUGUAGAUGCGAACUCCAAUGCUCCAACCCAUGGCAACACUGUUACAACACCAAAGUCUUGUGAUGUUUUUUAUGUCACUCCUCAGGCUCCAAUCUCAACAGAAGCAGAAGUUCUAGUGUAUGAUGUCACACCAAUCUCUGUGGCUCCAUUAUCAAGCGGGACUGCAGAUGGACCAUCAAAACCACAAGAAGAGCUAGUUGUUCUAGUUAGCAGCAGGGAACCAAGUCCCGUCCUCAACGAGGAGAAGUUGAAGAGAAAGGACGAGAAGAAGCUCAAGAGCAAGAAAAGAGUAGGGAGUCCAAUGUCGGCCAGAUCAAAGCACAAGAAAAUCAAGACAGGUUCGAAGAUGGAAGCAAUGUACCAGUACUAUGUCAUGAAGAGGUACAAGAUGAAGAAGAUGAAGAGAGGGGAAAUUGAGCCUCCUUUCAUUAGGAUUGGUGAUUUCCACAUUACCUACACCAACUUUCAGAAGUCGUUGAAGCCACGCGCUCAGAUAUGCAACGAAGUCAUGUCUUUGUUCAUCGAAACCUUCAACAUUGAACAAUUGUCAUCUUCAAAUAAGCAGAAGAAAUUUGCUUUCUCUGUUUUAAUGAGCCUUCAACUCUCUGUCCACCCAGAAGUUUUUGACCUGAGUGUUUGUGCAAGAGAGCUGAGGAGGGCGUGCCAAAAUUUCCAGAUUUCAGUUUUCGACCUACUUUUCUUCACCAUCGUCCAUGAUGGCCACUGGAUUGUUUGCGUCGUUAACCUCUUGCACAAGGAGUUCAACAUGUUUGACUCAUUGGAUAACGGAAAAUUGGAUGUUGUUGCAAGGAAUCUACUUACCAAUUUCAAGAGGAUUGCUAUAGAAGAGCCAGAUUUCAAAGUGGAUUUAUCUUCUUUCAAACCAGACUGGCCCCUACUUGACUACCCACAACAGACAACUCACUUUGAUUGUGGAUUGUUUUCAACACUGUACUUGGAAAAUUUCGACGGCAAGAGGAUGAAAGAUUUUAAGAAGCAAACUAUGCUUGAUGUGCGGAAGACCAUUGCUUCGAAGCUGUUUUUCCAUCCGCUGAACAAGGUCUGCCCCGCUGAUGUGCAUAGGGCGGUCAUAGUGGCUUGA